Molecule: ribosomal RNA, 439 nt
Filed under: uncultured bacterium
Lineage: Bacteria
Description: partial 16S ribosomal RNA
Rfam family: Bacterial small subunit ribosomal RNA
Source: RNAcentral
CUACGGGGUGCUGCAGUGGGGAAUAUUGCACAAUGGACGAAAGUCUGAUGCAGCAACGCCGCGUGGAGGAUGACACAUUUCGGUGCGUAAACUCCUUUUAUAUAGGAAGAUAAUGACGGUACCAUAUGAAUAAGCGCCGGCUAACUCCGUGCCAGCAGCCGCGGUAAUACGGAGGGCGCAAGCGUUACUCGGAAUCACUGGGCGUAAAGAGCGUGUAGGCGGAUAGAUAAGUCAGGAGUGAAAUCCUAUGGCUCAACCAUAGAACUGCUCUUGAAACUGUCUAUCUAGAAUAUGGGAGAGGUAGAUGGAAUUUCUGGUGUAGGGGUAAAAUCCGUAGAGAUCAGAAGGAAUACCGAUUGCGAAGGCGAUCUACUGGAACAUUAUUGACGCUGAGACGCGAAAGCGUGGGGAGCAAACAGGAUUAGAUACCCUGGUAGUC